Molecule: ribosomal RNA, 644 nt
Filed under: uncultured Actinomycetes bacterium
Lineage: Bacteria; Bacillati; Actinomycetota; Actinomycetes
Description: bacterial SSU rRNA
Rfam family: Bacterial small subunit ribosomal RNA
Source: RNAcentral
CGCGGCCUAUCAGCUUGUUGGUGGGGUGAUGGCCUACCAAGGCGACGACGGGUAGCCGGCCUGAGAGGGCGACCGGCCACACUGGGACUGAGACACGGCCCAGACUCCUACGGGAGGCAGCAGUGGGGAAUAUUGCGCAAUGGGCGAAAGCCUGACGCAGCGACGCCGCGUGGGGGAUGACGGCCUUCGGGUUGUAAACCUCUUUCGACCGGGACGAAGCGUGAGUGACGGUACCGGUAGAAGAAGCACCGGCCAACUACGUGCCAGCAGCCGCGGUAAUACGUAGGGUGCGAGCGUUGUCCGGAAUUAUUGGGCGUAAAGAGCUCGUAGGCGGUGUGUCGCGUCGGUCGUGAAAACUUGGGGCUUAACUCUGAGCUUGCGGUCGAUACGGGCAUCACUUGAGUUCGGCAGGGGAGACUGGAAUUCCUGGUGUAGCGGUGAAAUGCGCAGAUAUCAGGAGGAACACCGGUGGCGAAGGCGGGUCUCUGGGCCGAUACUGACGCUGAGGAGCGAAAGCGUGGGGAGCGAACAGGAUUAGAUACCCUGGUAGUCCACGCCGUAAACGGUGGGCGCUAGGUGUGGGGGCCAUUCCACGGUCUCUGUGCCGCAACUAACGCAUUAAGCGCCCCGCCUGGGGAGUACGG